UGCGCAGGCGGUUUUGUAAGUCUGAUGUGAAAUCCCCGGGCUCAACCUGGGAAUUGCAUUGGAGACUGCAAGGCUAGAAUCUGGCAGAGGGGGGUAGAAUUCCACGUGUAGCAGUGAAAUGCGUAGAUAUGUGGAGGAACACCGAUGGCGAAGGCAGCCCCCUGGGUCAAGAUUGACGCUCAUGCACGAAAGCGUGGGGAGCAAACAGGAUUAGAUACCCUGGUAGUCCACGCCCUAAACGAUGUCUACUAGUUGUCGGGUCUUAAUUGACUUGGUAACGCAGCUAAACGCGUGAAGUAGACCGCCUGGGGAGUACGGUCGCAAGAUUAAA
RNAcentral lists this ribosomal RNA (331 nucleotides) under uncultured bacterium. RNAcentral describes it as "bacterial SSU rRNA". It matches the Rfam family "Bacterial small subunit ribosomal RNA", at positions 568 to 898 of the family's 1533-position model. The record is from RNAcentral.